UCAGGUUUAUGGCUAGAGAAACUGAGAGAAUUAUGGGACAUUCAUCUUAAUGAGGGAAACAGGAGGUAAACAAAUACGAUGAAAGAAAAAUCAAAUAUUUAAAUAUGAUACAUAUUCCUUCAUCUCAAAAAUACAUAGAUUUCAUAAUUAAACUGGAGUGUUAGGGGCGUCUAUUUGGAGAAGCAGCUCAACAUUACUAUAGUGUGAUUCACAGGGGUGUUCAUUUCAGAAAGGACUCACCUACUGUGAAAGAGAAAAUAUAUUUUGACCUAGAUUCCUAUGCUUAAGAUAUGAAACCUCAAGACUAGUGUCUGUCCUUCUAAUACACAAGGGACAUUGAUCAACUAUGAACACCAUGUCAACCUAUUUCCAAGCCCACAAAACUUGUAUCACUAAGCUGUCUUGAGUUAAAAUAUGACCAUGUACUGGCAAAUAUAGUCUUAAAAUAAUAAAUGAAUAAAUAUUCCACAUCACUCUAUUUCAGGAUUUCUCAAACUCAACUGGCAUUUAUUUUGAACUAGAUGAUUCUUCGUCAGGGCAAGGGAGGCAAUAGGGAUGUAGAGGAACAUCUUGAUCCCCAUCUAGUAGAGAGUAGUAUCCUCAAGUGUCACACCAAAAACGUCUCCAGGCACUUGCAGAUAGUCCCUGUGGACAGGGGAUGGUGAUGUAAAAUCACUCCCAACUGAGAAUCACCAUCUGAAUCUGAACUUAAGAGAUGGAUGGUGGUUAUAGGCAAUUUUAGCUGAUAAUGUGUUAUUAAGAUACAGACAGGACAUUUUCAAUGUAGAAUUCACACUAAUUAAUUGACUGAAGGAAUGUUGAAGACAGUGAUCUAUACUUCCGAAGCAGCAGACAGUGUGUCCUUUUCUCUCCCUCCUUUUUUCACUCCCUAACAUGAAUUAAGUAGUAUCCAUAGAUUCCAAGUAUUCAAGUUACUCUUUGAAGCCAGAAUAUUUUUCUCUGAGCCCUCAUAAGACUCCCCUCCCCCCAACAGGUUUAGAAACUGUCAGUCCUCCAACUUUCCAAGCCUGAACUUUAUCCUCUAUUAUCAUCUUCCAAAAAGUCAUCUCUUAUCUUACCUGCUCUGUGUAAGGCAGUUUGUGCACAGUUGCUAGUUAUUAUCAUUAGUUCUGACUGGUUUGAAUGAUUGAUGAUAUUUCUAAUGUAGUCACUGGGAUUCUUUCAUGGCCUUAAUGGUUACAGAAAUCACGGAUCUCCUUAAAAUGGAAAGGGGAAGGAGGAUUGUAUAAUUAAAUAUCUGAAAAGCUUUAACUGAAUGCAUUUUUCAAGAUAAGAGUAUUUUGGAAAUUCAUAAGCAUAGCAAGAAGACAUGUAUACCUAAAGCAUAAGUGUGUCGUGACAAUAUCUGGUAUUCAGAUAACAUUUUUACAAUAAAAUAUUUUGUGGAUUGGAGAUAAAUAGCAUGAUCUGGUCAGACACAUAUAUUUUUGCCUUAAAUUAUCUUGUCAGAUAAAAUAGUUGAACAGACAUUAUAUUGAUUUUUCACUCCCUAGACUGGUCUUAGUUCUGUAGAAAUAAGUCUAUGAAAAAUAAGCUCUCACAUAGGAGAUACUUUCUUGGGAGAUAAGGAUCCCAGAGAAAGACAGAUGUGCUCCAACUGGCGAGAGCUGGAGUUCAAGGGUUGUUACUAUAUGAAAGAACACUGCUGCAGUCAAGGGCUGUUAAGAAUACAGGUGAUGAAUUGCUUCUUUAGAAUGUGCUGUGAGAUUAUGUAUACUACUCAGGAUUUCUUUUUCUGAUAAAGAAAUGUCAAAAUAAGUUUGACCCCUGAACACCCAAGUUCUUAGAUUGAGGAGGGCAUCACUGCCUGCCCUUUGCUGAGAUUGUCAACUUUAAGUAUCAGAAGUGAAAAUUCUCCUGAAACUAUUGACGGAACCAUGGAUAGCUCAAGUAUUUUACAGAAUAAUUAUGAAUGUAUGAAUGUUACUGAGUUUUUCUUUUCCUAUUUCAACCAAUUAAAAAGCUAUCUUGUCUGACCUAGAAAAACUUUUGGAUAAUUUCUUGAACUCAAGUGCAUCUGAUACACAGCCAGAGGCAGUAAAUCAAUGGACAGUAAUUUUAAGUACAUAUGGAUAAAGGAUAAGAACUGACAUCUUGAAUUUACAUCUUUCUCCCAAAUUUGAUUGCCUUCCUUCUCUGCAACAUCAAGGUUUUAUUUUUAAUAUAUAUGUAACACUUUCAAGGUCCUUGGAGUCUUUAGUCUUCAACCUGGAUAUUCUCCUCAAAACAGAAGUGAAAAAUAAAGAUCUUUAGACAAGAAUGUAAACUGCUGGACACUUACAUGGUUUGUCUCUCUUCAACUUGAAGAAGUAUUGUGACCUAAAGGAUUUUCAUGUAAAAAGAAUAAAUGUACUUCUCCAUUCUUC
This is a non-coding RNA of Oryctolagus cuniculus (rabbit), 2387 nucleotides long. Lineage: Eukaryota; Metazoa; Chordata; Mammalia; Lagomorpha; Leporidae. The record is from RefSeq and is a predicted model, not a curated record.